Molecule: ribosomal RNA, 253 nt
Filed under: uncultured bacterium
Lineage: Bacteria
Description: partial 16S ribosomal RNA
Rfam family: Bacterial small subunit ribosomal RNA
Source: RNAcentral
UACGUAGGUGGCAAGCGUUAUCCGGAUUUAUUGGGCGUAAAGGGAACGCAGGCGGUCUUUUAAGUCUGAUGUGAAAGCCUUCGGCUUAACCGGAGUAGUGCAUUGGAAACUGGGAGACUUGAGUGCAGAAGAGGAGAGUGGAACUCCAUGCGUAGCGGUGAAAUGCGUAGAUAUAUGGAAGAACACCAGUGGCGAAAGCGGCCCUCUGGUCUGUAACUGACGCUGAGGUUCGAAAGCGUGGGUAGCAAACAGG